This 237-nucleotide ribosomal RNA is filed under the name Triticum aestivum (bread wheat). Its description in RNAcentral is "partial small subunit ribosomal RNA". Lineage: Eukaryota; Viridiplantae; Streptophyta; Magnoliopsida; Poales; Poaceae. The record is from RNAcentral.
AUGACUAGGCACAGACAUCCCCUGCCCCGAACUCUCUUCCCCAAACUACCCAUCCCAUCUCUCGCGAGAAAAAUUCCCUACCGCCGUCCAGAUCGGAGAUCACCUCGGCCUCCUCCACCACGCGCCCGCUUCCUCCCAUGGUCGUGUCCUCCCGACCCACCCUCCUCUUCGCUCACCACGCCGGCACAGGCGGUCACGCGGGCGUCCAUUGAUCUGCAACUGUCACCGCCUUCAUAA